UACAGAGGUGGCAAGCGUUGUUCGGAAUUACUGGGCGUAAAGGGCGCGUAGGCGGUCUUUUAAGUCUUGUGUGAAAUCCCUCGGCUCAACUGAGGAACUGCACGGGAUACUGGAAGACUUGAGUUCGGGAGAGGGAAGCGGAAUUCCGGGUGUAGCGGUGAAAUGCGUAGAUAUCCGGAGGAACACCGGUGGCGAAGGCGGCUCACUGGCCCGAUACUGACGCUGAGGCACGAAAGCGUGGGGAGCAAACAGG
This 253-nucleotide ribosomal RNA is filed under the name uncultured bacterium. RNAcentral describes it as "partial 16S ribosomal RNA". It matches the Rfam family "Bacterial small subunit ribosomal RNA", at positions 524 to 776 of the family's 1533-position model. The record is from RNAcentral.